CUCUGUGACUCCUACGGGAGGCAGCGUGGGGAAUAUUGCACAAUGGGCGCAAGCCUGAUGCAGCAACGCCGUGUGAGUGAAGAAGGUUUUCGGAUCGUAAAACUCUGUCCUAAGGGAAGAAACAAAUGACGGUACCUUAGGAGGAAGCCCCGGCUAACUACGUGCCAGCAGCCGCGGUAAUACGUAGGGGGCAAGCGUUAUCCGGAAUCACUGGGCGUAAAGGGUGCGUAGGCGGCUUAGCAAGCCAGGGGUGAAAGGCAUUGGCUCAACCAAUGUAAGCCUUUGGAACUGUUAAGCUUGAGUGCAGGAGAGGUAAGUGGAAUUCCUAGUGUAGAGGUGAAAUUCGUAGAUAUUAGGAGGAACACCAGUGGCGAAGGCGACUUACUGGACUGUAACUGACGCUGAUGCACGAAAGCGUGGGUAGCGAACAGGAUUAGAUACCCUGGUAG
Molecule: ribosomal RNA, 449 nt
Filed under: uncultured bacterium
Lineage: Bacteria
Description: bacterial SSU rRNA
Rfam family: Bacterial small subunit ribosomal RNA
Source: RNAcentral